RNAcentral lists this ribosomal RNA (511 nucleotides) under uncultured bacterium. RNAcentral describes it as "bacterial SSU rRNA". It matches the Rfam family "Bacterial small subunit ribosomal RNA", at positions 334 to 842 of the family's 1533-position model. The record is from RNAcentral.
GACUCCUACGGGAGGCAGCAGUGAGGAAUAUUGGUCAAUGGGCGGGAGCCUGAACCAGCCAAGUCGCGUGAGGGAUGACGGCCCUAUGGGUUGUAAACCUCUUUUGCCGGGGAGCAAAGUGCCGCACGUGUGCGGUUUGGAGAGUACCCGGAGAAAAAGCAUCGGCUAACUCCGUGCCAGCAGCCGCGGUAAUACGGAGGAUGCGAGCGUUAUCCGGAUUUAUUGGGUUUAAAGGGUGCGUAGGCGGACGCUUAAGUCAGCGGUAAAAUUGCGGGGCUCAACCUCGUCGAGCCGUUGAAACUGGGUGCCUUGAGUGGGCGAGAAGUACGCGGAAUGCGUGGUGUAGCGGUGAAAUGCAUAGAUAUCACGCAGAACUCCGAUUGCGAAGGCAGCGUACCGGCGCCCAACUGACGCUGAAGCACGAAGGCGUGGGUAUCGAACAGGAUUAGAUACCCUGGUAGUCCACGCAGUAAACGAUGAAUGCUAGUUGUCCGGGGCGAUUGAGUUCUGG